AGAAUGAACGCUGGCGGCAUGCCUAACACAUGCAAGUCGAACGAAGGCUUCGGCCUUAGUGGCGCACGGGUGCGUAACGCGUGGGAAUCUGCCCUUGGGUUCGGAAUAACAGCGAGAAAUUGCUGCUAAUACCGGAUAAUGACGUAAGUCCAAAGAUUUAUCGCCCAAGGAUGAGCCCGCGUAGGAUUAGCUAGUUGGUGUGGUAAAAGCGCACCAAGGCGACGAUCCUUAGCUGGUCUGAGAGGAUGAUCAGCCACACUGGGACUGAGACACGGCCCAGACUCCUACGGGAGGCAGCAGUGGGGAAUAUUGGACAAUGGGCGAAAGCCUGAUCCAGCAAUGCCGCGUGAGUGAUGAAGGCCUUAGGGUUGUAAAGCUCUUUACCCGGGAUGAUAAUGACAGUACCGGGAGAAUAAGCUCCGGCUAACUCCGCGCCAGCAGCCGC
RNAcentral lists this ribosomal RNA (445 nucleotides) under uncultured bacterium. RNAcentral describes it as "SSU rRNA". It matches the Rfam family "Bacterial small subunit ribosomal RNA", at positions 26 to 518 of the family's 1533-position model. The record is from RNAcentral.